GGUCCAUUCCCUUCCGCUUUGUUUAACUGCAAACAACUGCAAAUGUUAUGGAUGUCGUCCAAUAGAUUCACAGGAAGCGUACCUUCAGAAAUUGAAGGCUUAAGUAUGCUCACAGAGUUAUAUCUUCACGACAACAGUUUUGAAGGAAGAUUACCUCCAGAAAUUGGGAACUUAACCAUGCUCAAAGUGUUAUACAUUGGCUAUAACAACUUUGGAGGUGCAAUACCAAGUGAAAUUGGUAAUCUACAAAACCUUGAGGUCUUG
Molecule: long non-coding RNA, 264 nt
Organism: Alnus glutinosa
Lineage: Eukaryota; Viridiplantae; Streptophyta; Magnoliopsida; Fagales; Betulaceae
Exons: 3
Source: RefSeq, a predicted model, not a curated record